AUUGAACGCUGGCGGCAUGAUUUACACAUGCAAGUCGAACGGUAACAGGCCGCAAGGUGCUGACGAGUGGCGAACGGGUGAGUAAUGCAUCGGAACGUGCCCAGUCGUGGGGGAUAACUACUCGAAAGAGUAGCUAAUACCGCAUACGAUCUAUGGAUGAAAGCGGGGGACCGUAAGGCCUCGCGCGAUUGGAGCGGCCGAUGUCAGAUUAGGUAGUUGGUGGGGUAAAGGCUCACCAAGCCAACGAUCUGUAGCUGGUCUGAGAGGACGACCAGCCACACUGGGACUGAGACACGGCCCAGACUCCUACGGGAGGCAGCAGUGGGGAAUUUUGGACAAUGGGCGCAAGCCUGAUCCAGCAAUGCUGCGUGCAGGAAGAAGGCCUUCGGGUUGUAAACUGCUUUUGUACGGAACGAAACGGCUCUGGUUAAUACCCGGGGCUAAUGACGGUACCGUAAGAAUAAGCACCGGCUAACUACGUG
RNAcentral lists this ribosomal RNA (482 nucleotides) under uncultured bacterium. Its description in RNAcentral is "partial 16S ribosomal RNA". It matches the Rfam family "Bacterial small subunit ribosomal RNA", at positions 30 to 507 of the family's 1533-position model. The record is from RNAcentral.